This 340-nucleotide ribosomal RNA is filed under the name uncultured bacterium. Its description in RNAcentral is "bacterial SSU rRNA". It matches the Rfam family "Bacterial small subunit ribosomal RNA", at positions 328 to 667 of the family's 1533-position model. The record is from RNAcentral.
AAAACCAACCUACGGGAGGCAGCAGUAAGGAAUAUUGGUCAAUGGAGGCAACUCUGAACCAGCCAUGCCGCGUGCAGGAAGACGGCCCUCUGGGUUGUAAACUGCUUUUAUUCGGGAAUAAACCUACUUACGUGUAAGUAGCUGAAUGUACCGAAGGAAUAAGGAUCGGCUAACUCCGUGCCAGCAGCCGCGGUAAUACGGAGGAUCCAAGCGUUAUCCGGAUUUAUUGGGUUUAAAGGGUGCGUAGGCGGCCUGUUAAGUCAGGGGUGAAAGACGGUAGCUCAACUAUCGCAGUGCCCUUGAUACUGAUGGGCUUGAAUGGACUAGAGGUAGGCGGAAU